This 155-nucleotide unclassified non-coding RNA is filed under the name soil metagenome. Its description in RNAcentral is "partial internal transcribed spacer 1". The record is from RNAcentral.
CCGAGUUUACAACUCCCAAACCCAUGAGAACAUACCUACUGUUGCUUCGGCGGAUUCAGCCCGGCUCCUCGUGUAACCCGGAUCAGGCCCCGCCAGAGGAACCCUUAACUCUUGUUUUAUAUUGUAAUCUUCUGAGUAAGUUUACAAAUAAAUAA